Molecule: long non-coding RNA, 1091 nt
Organism: Harpegnathos saltator (Jerdon's jumping ant)
Lineage: Eukaryota; Metazoa; Arthropoda; Insecta; Hymenoptera; Formicidae
Exons: 2
Source: RefSeq, a predicted model, not a curated record
GUAUAUAUAUAUAUAUAUAUAUAUACAUGUAUACAUCGUAUAUGUAUAUGUAUAUACGUAUAAUAUAUAAGUAUGGAAGAAAUUUCACUUUCAAAAGACAAAGAACCCACCAUCGGCGUCGCGUUUGAUCACACAUACGCUUCUUAGAAUUAUAAAGCAGGCAAAUUUGUUAUGACAGAUAUCUAGUCGUAGUCUCUCUAAUAUGUAAGUUUCACUUCCACGUUUAACGUAAAACUAUAAAUUUACAAGAGUACAAAAACGGCUGAAUAAUUUGAUGGAGACAAAACGAAAUAUUGUGUUGAAUCCUACAAAUAUUGCUGGUACGAUAUCAAUGUUGCGAAAUAAAACUUACAUUCCCUUGAACUUGAAGAUCAUUGCGUUGAAAGCUUCGGAAGAAUCGCUUGAACGGGCGAGUAUAUAGGCGAUGGCUCAUAUUCGAUAUCGACAGAUAAAAAAUUGCGUAUAUGAGGUGCCAGUUGAAUUCGUGAAACAUGAAUAUAGUAUUACGUAAAUUCAUGAGAUACAUUCGUAAAUUUUUUUUCUAUUCUGUUCACGCGUACCGACAAUUCCUAAUGUCUUUAACGGUGUUGGUUGACUAAAUAACGAGAAAAGCUAUUCCAUACAGAUAUACAAAUUUAUAACGAUAUUUGUCGUUCAUGAGCGAUGAUCAUUGUUCAACGUUAAACGUGUUAUCAAAGUGUAUCAAAGUUAAACGUGAGCCAUUUUAGAUAACGAAAACGAUGUACCGACGCAUUUUGAAAACAUUUUGAACCAGGAGUUCUAUGCUAAUCUGUAUAUACCUAUCGAUAAUUAUCAAUUUGGUACAUUAAUGAUAUUUAUCGUUUACACGAGCGACAAAAAUAAAUAUAAAUUAUUCUGAACGUCGUUGCAAAUGACAAGUCGUUAAUAUGACUUUAUCGAUAAUAUAUAUGCACAUUCAAAAGAUAGAAAAGAUAUUUUUCAGCCAAUAGCAUUAAAGAUUCAUAAGAAAAAUUCAAAAUUCGUACAUGUUGGUCCAGUGGCUGUUAUAUGUAGCGUAAAACAAGGAAGAAAAGAAUCUAAAUAUUAUGUAGCAAAUAAGAAUACGAAGA